GACGAACGCUGGCGGCGUGCCUAAUACAUGCGAGUAGAACGCUGAAGAGAGGAGCUUGCUCUUCUUGGAUGAGUUGCGAACGGGUGAGUAACGCGUAGGUAACCUGCCUGGUAGCGGGGGAUAACUAUUGGAAACGAUAGCUAAUACCGCAUAAAAUGGAUUAUCGCAUGAUAAUCCAUUGAAAGGUGCAAAUGCAUCACUACCAGAUGGACCUGCGUUGUAUUAGCUAGUUGGUGGGGUAACGGCUCACCAAGGCGACGAUACAUAGCCGACCUGAGAGGGUGAUCGGCCACACUGGGACUGAGACACGGCCCAGACUCCUACGGGAGGCAGCAGUAGGGAAUCUUCGGCAAUGGACGGAAGUCUGACCGAGCAACGCCGCGGGAGUGAAGAAGGGUUUCGGAUCGUAAAGCUCUGUUGUAAGAGAAGAACGAGUGUGAGAGUGGAAAGUUCACACUGUGACGGUAUCUUACCAGAAAGGGACGGCUAACUACGUG
This 497-nucleotide ribosomal RNA is filed under the name uncultured bacterium. RNAcentral's name for it is "partial 16S ribosomal RNA". It matches the Rfam family "Bacterial small subunit ribosomal RNA", at positions 28 to 507 of the family's 1533-position model. The record is from RNAcentral.